This 72-nucleotide transfer RNA is filed under the name Camelus bactrianus (Bactrian camel). It matches the Rfam family "tRNA". From Rfam's summary of the family: Transfer RNA (tRNA) molecules are approximately 80 nucleotides in length. Their secondary structure includes four short double-helical elements and three loops (D, anti-codon, and T loops). The record is from Rfam by way of RNAcentral. RNAcentral also lists the same sequence under 1 other name. Lineage: Eukaryota; Metazoa; Chordata; Mammalia; Artiodactyla; Camelidae.
CGGGAAAUAGCUCAGUGGUAGAGUGCAUGCUUAGUAUGCACGAAGUCCUGGGUUCAAUUCCCCAUACCUCCA